Long non-coding RNA from Quercus lobata, 469 nucleotides. RefSeq lists it as uncharacterized. NCBI's taxonomy places the organism in Eukaryota, Viridiplantae, Streptophyta, Magnoliopsida, Fagales, Fagaceae. The transcript has 2 exons. The record is from RefSeq and is a predicted model, not a curated record.
AGAAGAAGACAGUAGAAAUAUAAAUUAAAAGAGGGAAAGACCAGUGCGAAACGAAGAAGAAGAAAAAUGGCGACCUGUGACAUGGUGGUGACCUGGGAAUCGAGCAUAAAUUGCAAGGGUAUAAGGUUGUGUUGGUGCCGCUUGGGAAGUUGGAGCAUAAGGGGGGAGCGGAGGUUGGAGAGGAAUCUGUGAACAUGGUUUACCAUCUAGUACAAUUACAUUGUAUGGUUCUAAGGAUGAUAUAUUGACAUGCUAGUCUUGCUAGAUACCAAUUUGUAAGUAGUUGCACUAUCGGUUGAAAAUUGUAUUCUACUUGUAUUUUUUGUAUGAAAUCAGCUAUGCCAGGUGUAGCCAAAUUCAAUUUUAUUCUUAAAAUGCAAGCAUGUGCAGCUUAAUCAACAUUCAAUACAACUUAAGUUGUUCUCAUUUUGGUAAUGGAGGCUACACAUUCGAGUUCAAGUUUUAACAA